CUUGGCCAAUCUCACUACCGUGCUCUGAGCCUCCUCCAGCCCACACCUUAAUCUCCUCUAUCAUCCCAAUGUAAAGCUGAUCAAGGCACCGCUCUAACUUCUAUUCUUCAGCAGCUCCUGCCUUCAGGAUGGAACGAACGCUUCCAGCAGGUGGUGUCCACUUACUUUCCAGCCUCAUCUCUUACACACGGAAGUACUUGUAGUUUCUGGAACUUCCCAAGAUCUCAGUCAGUGCCUUCAAUUCUCUGCCUCCCUUUUUGGGAGCAUUUAGAGAGUGUCAGGUACUAUGCUAAACGCUUUAACACAAUGUUUGAAUCCUUACAAAGGUCAGCGUUUUUAGGUCAAACUGUAUGAAAUCACUGACAUUUAACAAUUUUUUUUUCUUUUCUUUUUCGAGAUGGAGUCUUGCUCUGUCGCCCAGGCUAGAGUGCAGUGGCGCAAUCUUGGCUUACUGCAACCCCUGCUACGGGCUCAACAAUACUGCCUCAGUCUCCUGAGUAGCUGGGACUACAGGCGCGUGCCACCACGCCUGGCUAAUUUUUGUAUUUGGUAGAGACGGGGUUUCAGCAUCUUGGCCAGGCUGGUCUUGAACUCCUGACCUCGUGAUCUACCUGUCUUGGCCUCCCAAAAUGCUGGGAUUACAGGCAUGAGCCUCUGCGCCCGGACUGUUUUUAUUUUUUUGAGAUGACGUCUUUCUCUGUCACCCAGGCUGCAGUACGGUGGCGUGAUCUCAGCUCACUGCAACCUCUGCCUCCUGGGUUCAAGUGAUUCUCCUGCCUCAGCCUCCCGAGUAGCUGGGAUUACAGGCGUGCACCACCACACCCAGCUAAUUUUUUGUAUUUUUAGUAGAGACAGGGUUUCACCAUGUUGGCCAGGCUGGUCUCCAACUCCAGGUGAUCCGCCCGCCUUGGCCUCCCCAAGUGCUGGGAUUACAGGCAUGAGCCACUGCGCCCAGACAAUAUUUAACAACUUUUAACCUAAGAAAUGGCAAUAUAGUGGUUCAUCCUAAUACUUCCCUUGUACCUUCCCCCAUAUACAGGGGAAAGUGAAGCAAUGAGAGAUCAAGCACCUUAAUACAAAGCUGGGCGUCUGACUCCUAAGUCCAUUCGAGUACCCACAGUGCACUUCAAGGCUAGUCUCAGUGCCCCUGCCCGGCCAAAUUUGCCUGGAUGACCUCUUGCUCUUCAAGAGAGUGCCUUUUUUUUUUUUUGAGAUGGAGUCUUGCUCUGUCGCCCAGGCUGGAGUGCAGUGGCCCAUCUCAGCUCACUGCAAGCUCCACCUCCCGGGUUCACGCCAUUCUCCUGCCUCAGCCUCCCGGGUAGCUGGGACUAGAGGUGCCCGCCACCAAGCCCGGCUAAUUUUUUUUUGUAUUUUUAGUAGAGACGGGGUUUCACCAUGUUAGCCAGGAUGGUCUCGAUCUCCUGACCUUGUGAUCUACCCACCUCGGCCUCCCAAAGUGCUAGGAUUACAGGAGUGAGCCACCGCGCCCGGCCAAGAGUGCCCUUCUUUAAGGUGCCCUGUGCAUGCCUGUAUCAUCAUGGCCUUUAUCAGACCAUCUUGUAACUGCCUGUUUACUUAUCUCCAUCUUUUAUGGGACUUCGAGCUCCUGGAAGGCAAGGACCCAGCUACAGUCAGUCUGUAUUUUGCCAUUAUCUAGAAUUGUACCUGACACAUUGUAUAUAUUUACUAUUGAUUUGUUAAAUGAAUGAAUGAGUGAAACAAAUGAGUAAAAAAAUAACUUGGAGAAAAA
Molecule: long non-coding RNA, 1750 nt
Filed under: Homo sapiens (human)
Lineage: Eukaryota; Metazoa; Chordata; Mammalia; Primates; Hominidae
Description: HSALNT0236686
Source: RNAcentral